CCCCUUGAAAGAGAGCGCCNACNAGGGUGAGAGUCCCGUUUGUCAAUCUGCAGCCCUCCGUACACGGCUUGCACUUGCAGAGUCACGUUCCUCGGGAUUGGAGCGCAAAGUGGGUGGUAAAUUUCAUCUAAAGCUAAAUACGUGUUUGAGACCGAUAGCACACAAGUACCAUGAGGGAAAGAUGAAAAGGACUUUGAAAAGAGAGUUAAAAGUGCCUGAAAUUGCUGCAAGGGAAGCGGAUGGAACCAGUCCACACGGUGAGAUUGUUGGGCGGAGGCGAAAGGAGUUACACUUUCAACGCAAGUGUGAGUGUGAGUUCUGGUCGUCUCUCGCCCGGUGGUUCUUGCCGUGGGGGUCAUUGGUGAUUGGUGGCCGAGGAUACCUGCAAAGGCAUGGUAGCCCGUCCCCGGGUGGGUGAACGCGUUUGUUAGUACUCGGCCGCUGAUCAUGUGAGUGGUGUCCGGUAACCGACGACCGACUUCGGUGGCUCAGCCGCUUGAGUUAAUCGUGGGUCCUGACACACGCCUACGACCAAAUGGUUCUUUCCGACCCGUCUUGAAACACG
RNAcentral lists this ribosomal RNA (565 nucleotides) under Margalefidinium polykrikoides. RNAcentral's name for it is "LSU rRNA". It matches the Rfam family "Eukaryotic large subunit ribosomal RNA", at positions 186 to 663 of the family's 3401-position model. Lineage: Eukaryota; Dinophyceae; Gymnodiniales; Gymnodiniaceae. The record is from RNAcentral.